GCCCCCGUAGCUCAGUGGAUAGAGCAAAGGAUUCCUAAUCCUUGCGCCGCGUGUUCGAUUCACGCCGGGGGCACCA
RNAcentral lists this transfer RNA (76 nucleotides) under Deltaproteobacteria bacterium. RNAcentral's name for it is "tRNA-Arg". It matches the Rfam family "tRNA". From Rfam's summary of the family: Transfer RNA (tRNA) molecules are approximately 80 nucleotides in length. RNAcentral also lists the same sequence under 3 other names. The record is from RNAcentral. Lineage: Bacteria; Pseudomonadati; Myxococcota; Myxococcia.